Molecule: non-coding RNA, 69 nt
Organism: Podarcis lilfordi (Lilford's wall lizard)
Lineage: Eukaryota; Metazoa; Chordata; Lepidosauria; Squamata; Lacertidae
Source: the annotation of a GenBank genome assembly
GCUGUAGCUCAGUGAUGGAGCACCUACUCUGCAUGCAGUAAGUCCUAGGUUCAACCCCUGGCAUCUCCA